RNAcentral lists this long non-coding RNA (297 nucleotides) under Zea mays. RNAcentral's name for it is "long non-coding RNA (ZMAY_LNC003867)". Lineage: Eukaryota; Viridiplantae; Streptophyta; Magnoliopsida; Poales; Poaceae. The record is from RNAcentral.
UGAACUGCACAACACAAGCAGAGCAUAGAAGCAUUAACACCCAGCAUUUUUCAUAUCAGAGGCCUCAUGAAGGCGAACUUUUGGAACGAAAGGAAACGGUAUGGGUAACUUUAAUCCACUAGCCGCUAAUCAUUAUCCCUCCAACUAACACCACAGCAGAAAUCAAACUACCAUGAUGCUACACCCUACCUGUUUCAGUUUGAUACCCAACGAUAUUAGCCAACGAAAACCUGCAGUUUAGAGAACCUAAAAUGAGAGCUCUGAAAAAUCAGGUGAUAGCUUGAGCGACAUCCUCAG